This is a long non-coding RNA of Peromyscus eremicus (cactus mouse), 1174 nucleotides long. RefSeq lists it as uncharacterized. NCBI's taxonomy places the organism in Eukaryota, Metazoa, Chordata, Mammalia, Rodentia, Cricetidae. The transcript is spliced from 4 exons. The record is from RefSeq and is a predicted model, not a curated record.
GCACCCUGGCUCUACAGCCACCCUCAGUCUGUCCAUGUUGGUCUCAGAAGUACUGUUCUGUUUGCAUCAGGUCACUGCUGGAAACCUUCCAUCGGUCCUUGCCACUUACAUGGCAAAGUGAACACUUUGUUGAAAGAACUUUCUAGAGACUCCACCUACUGGAGCCCAAACCCCAGCUCUGCCACUUACUAGACUUUGGAAAGGUAUGUUCUCUCCCUUCUUGGAACACCCUGCCUUGGAACCUGGACCCUGGUCUGCUUACCUAAGAGAUCAAACAGUGCUACGGAAAUAUCUAAGGACUCAAGAAAAAGCCGUUGGCUACAACCUCUGGGCAAACAACAGAAGCAUUCUAGUCCAGAGUCCAGAAGAAGCAAGGGCUCCAGUGUGGCCAAAUGGAAGAAGGCGAAAACAGGCCUGAGUCCAGGCCUCAUGUUCUAACUACUGAGAUAACCACUGAGGUUUCCAUAUUUGCUUCCUCCACCAGACUGAGUGUGUUGACAGCAGGAACUCCAGGACCCUCUGGCCCAGCACAGGCCAAUACACAAGAAGACCCAAGUCUUGAUGGAGAGAGGAAUGAAGGAAUGAGUGAAUGAAUGAUACAUGGGAACACCUCUACAAAUUAGCCAGGAGCUUUUCUCUUCCAGACAAUGAGAAGGUCUGGGAGCUCUCUGGCCAGAACUGGCUAAUGAAAUCACUAUUUUAGGAGGAUGGAUCACAGCAGGGUGAACUGGGAAGCUGGAGGCCCAGAGACCCGCUGGAAGGCUAUUUGGAAAGGUCGGCUUCCAAGCUGCCUGCAAGUGUAAAAAAAUCUAUGAGUGCAUUACCAGGAGGGCCAUCCAGCUUCGUUUAUUUUUAUCCUACCAAAUACAAGGUCAGAGACAAGUAGAGCACUUUCAGCUGAAAUUAUUUUUUUUAAUUGACAUCACACUUUACGCAAAUAUUAAUUCAUUUAUUCAGCAAACAGUUCUUGGGAACACUGGGCUAGCCUGAGAGCAAGGCAUCGUUUCUUCAGUGUGCAUGUUAAUUAUGGAGAUGCCUGUGUUUCACUUUGGCUUUCAAAUGAUCAGACCUCUGGCUUCUCAGCGGCUCGGAGCGGUCUUACAAAUACUAAGAUUCCAAGGACCGACCACUAUGGGUCCCCUUCCUAACGUGGAAACAAAUAUUUUAAAUCCAA